AGAGUUUGAUCCUGGCUCAGAACGAACGCUGGCGGCGUGCCUAACACAUGCAAGUCGUACGAGAAAAUCCGCUUCGGCGGGUGAGUAAAGUGGCGCACGGGUGAGUAACGCGUGGAUAAUCUGCCUUUAAGCGGGGAAUAACUUACCGAAAGGUGGGCUAAUACCCCAUAAAGCUAUGGAACUCCGGUUUUCAUAGCCAAAGAGAGCCUCUGCAUGCAAGCCCUCACUUAGAGAUGAGUCCGCGUACCAUUAGCUAGUUGGUGGGGUAAUGGCCUACCAAGGCGACGAUGGUUAGCUGGUCUGAGAGGAUGAUCAGCCACACUGGAACUGAGACACGGUCCAGACCCCUACGGGAGGCAGCAGUGAGGAAUAUUGCGCAAUGGGGGCAACCCUGACGCAGCAACGCCGCGUGAGUGAGGAAGGUUUUCGGAUCGUAAAGCUCUGUCGGGUGGGAAGAAAUGUAUGGAGGUUAACAGCCUUUGUACUUGACGGUACCGCCAAAGGAAGCACCGGCUAACUCCGUGCCAGCAGCCGCGGUAAUACGGGGGGUGCUAGCGUUGUUCGGAAUCAUUGGGCGUAAAGAGCGUGUAGGCGGCUAGGCAAGUCAGAUGUGAAAUCCCUGGGCUUAACCCAGGACGUGCAUUUGAAACUGCUUGGCUUGAGUAGGGAAGAGGGAAGUGGAAUUCCUGGUGUAGAGGUGAAAUUCGUAGAUAUCAGGAGGAACACCGGUGGCGAAGGCGACUUCCUGGUCCUAUACUGACGCUGAGACGCGAGAGCGUGGGGAGCAAACAAGGUUAGAUACCCUGGUAGUCCACGCCGUAAAC
RNAcentral lists this ribosomal RNA (824 nucleotides) under uncultured bacterium. Its description in RNAcentral is "bacterial SSU rRNA". It matches the Rfam family "Bacterial small subunit ribosomal RNA", at positions 8 to 807 of the family's 1533-position model. The record is from RNAcentral.